Molecule: long non-coding RNA, 475 nt
Organism: Gossypium raimondii (Peruvian cotton)
Lineage: Eukaryota; Viridiplantae; Streptophyta; Magnoliopsida; Malvales; Malvaceae
Exons: 2
Source: RefSeq, a predicted model, not a curated record
AAAUUUUUCUUUCAAAAUUAAUUACAACCGAAGAGAGAAAAAAACAAAGCCCUCCCCCCCUGUUUUGCUCUGCUAGGUUUGGACUCCUAGCAUCCUUGCGCCGCCAUUUCCCACGCGCCACGGCCCAAUCGUCGGCGGUGGCAACGACUCGUCGGCUCCGGUGAAAGAGGUACGUGCUUGAGGAGCGGUGUUUGCGGAGAAACGCCACGCGUGGAGGCCGAAACUUGCGGCGACUGGAGACUGCGGUGGCUACUUGCUGCUACUGCCUAGGGUUUCCUGAAAUUUUAACGUUUUUGGGCUAGGGUCUGUAUUGGGCUUAGGUUUAGUUUAUUGGGUUUGGGCCAAGGUUUAGUUUAUUUUUGUUUGGUAAUGGUCUGGGCCAAUUGGGCCUUAUUACAAUCUUAAUAUAAAAUAAAUUCUGGUUGUCAAAACGAAAUAUUUUUAUAAUAUUUUGUAAUAAAUAUAAUUUAUAUUA